This 292-nucleotide ribosomal RNA is filed under the name uncultured Alphaproteobacteria bacterium. RNAcentral's name for it is "partial 16S ribosomal RNA". The record is from RNAcentral. Lineage: Bacteria; Pseudomonadati; Pseudomonadota; Alphaproteobacteria.
GGACUACAAGGGUUUCUAAUCCUGUUUGCUCCCCACGCUUUCGCGCCUCAGCGUCAGUAUCGGUCCAGUGAGCCGCCUUCGCCACCGGUGUUCUUCCCAAUAUCUACGAAUUUCACCUCUACACUGGGAAUUCCACCCACCUCUCCCGAUCUCUAGCCUCUCAGUCCCAAAUGCUAUUCCCAGGUUGAGCCCGGGGCUUUCACAUCUGACUUGAAAGACCGCCUGCGCGCCCUUUACGCCCAGUAAUUCCGAACAACGCUCGCCCCCUUCGUAUUACCGCGGCGGCUGGCAC